CAGUUGCUACCAACCUCGCCAUUCAAUAGCAGCCCAAAACUCCAUUGUCAUCCGGCCGUGGCCUUCUCCUGCCCCAACGCGCCGCCGCUCCUCCGCCGUCCGCCGUCCGCCGUCUGCGCCCUCUCACCAGGCACCAGCCCGCUGCAUCUGCAAUGAGGAACAUUGUAAAACAAAUUCUGGUGUAGCAUGGUGGGGUCAAUGCCACAAGCUUCACCAUCAGAGCAACUUGUGCAAGGAAGGUGGAGGCUCCAUUUUUUUUUUGAACCAAUGGCAGGAGCUCUACCGCUCAAUUAAGACGAAGGAAUGAUUUUAUGUACAAGGAGGUUAGUCAAACGAGAUGCUAACAGAGCAUCCGAGUAGCUAACCACCCCACGCUACCCGGUUGAGCACUAACACGAUGCACUGCCAUUGGUCAUCAUUGCCGAGCAUGGAAGCAAAGCUACCAGCAGCUCCCACUUCCGAUGGCAGGCCACCUACGAGCCACCUACCGAGGAGGCUCAGCGCCCGUUGCGCCAAACCUGCACAGUGGGCGGUGCUACCGAACUCGUCGCCCUACCUACCGGCGUGGUGGCCCUCGUGCCUUCUCUGGGGCCGGUGAUCGACAGUUUUGGUCGCUUCUGCGCCGAUAUGCUGCUGUGCAAGUCCGCUGGCGCCGGAUCCGCCCUCCAUCGGGCUGAUUCUUCUCUCAGAUCAUGGCUGGGGGCCUACGACACCACCGCGGUCACCGGGUUACUCUCCAAUUCGGCAUGGCCAUCUUUUCCGUCGACCGUGGCAGCGGCAUCACCGUUACUUCUUGCUGGAAUGGUGGUGAUGCCGGGUAGGUGUUCCAGGCGAAAGCCCUUUUCGGCAUUGUGUAGGUAUCGAUAACGGCGGCGCUUUUGGGCGUCGUUUCCUUGAGGCGUUACCGUGGUGUCACCUACAACUGUCAGUGGAUCUCCGGGUGAAAACUCAAGUCCAGCUUGCUGGAUGUGGCGGCGAUGACAUCUUCGAUGUCGUUCUCUUCUUGAAGCGUCACCUUGGAGGUCAUUCGGUCCGACUUUGGUACUUCAGCGGCAUCAAAUAAUUCGGACAUCAAGUUUCUAAGUAAACGAGAGAUGUGGUGUUUGGUGCGGCAUAAAGACUUUACAAGGAUGAAACGGAGCGAAGAA
Molecule: long non-coding RNA, 1148 nt
Organism: Panicum virgatum (switchgrass)
Lineage: Eukaryota; Viridiplantae; Streptophyta; Magnoliopsida; Poales; Poaceae
Exons: 2
Source: RefSeq, a predicted model, not a curated record